GACGAACGCUGGCGGCGUGCUUAACACAUGCAAGUCGAACGGAAAGGCCCGGCUUUUGUGGCGUGCUCGAGUGGCGAACGCGUGAGUAACACGUGAGUAACCUGCCCUUGACUUUCGGAUAACUUCACGGAACUGGGGCUAAUACCGGAUAGGAUCUCCUGCUGCAUGGUGGUGGUUGGAAAGUUUCGGCGGUUGGGCAUGGACUCGCGGCUUAUCCGCUUGUUGGUGGGGUAGUGGCUUACCAAGGCUUUGACGGUUAGCCGGCCUGGGAGGGUGACCGGGUACAGUGGGCCAGGGAUACGGCCCGGACUCCUACGGGAGGCAGGAGUGGGGACCAGUGCACACUGGGCGGAAGGCGGAUGGAGCAACGCCGCGUGCGGGAUGACGGCCUUCGGGGAGGAAACCGCUUUCGACUGUGACGACGCGUGAUGGACGGUAAUGGGCAAAGAAGCACCGGCUAACUCCGU
Molecule: ribosomal RNA, 467 nt
Filed under: uncultured bacterium
Lineage: Bacteria
Description: partial 16S ribosomal RNA
Rfam family: Bacterial small subunit ribosomal RNA
Source: RNAcentral